ACAAUGAGUGAGGCGGACCCGCCCGGCGCGCCACCCUCGCCCCAGGAUCCGCGCGGCCGGCGACGCGCCCUCCGGGCUCUUCCCGUCAGGAAGCGCGCGGCCCGGCGGGCGCUCGGGCUCGGCCAGAGCGCAUGGCCGGCCGACGCUCUCGAUAGCCAACACCCUCUUCUGAUCUCCAAGACUACCAGAUACACAUGUGGGCACAGACCUGCGUGAACAGAUGUGUACUGUUGACACUCCAUGCCAGUGACUCUGAGGCCUCAGACCCAUGGUACAAUUUGGCAAAGCUUACCCAUAUGGACCAGGCUCAAGAGGAAUGGCAGAGUUUUCAUUACUGAUCAGUAUGUGAAAAGAACUGACUUUGACUUCCUCCUCCUGGAGAUGUCCAGACUCCUACUGAAAUUAGCUACCUAGGAAUAAACAUGCUGAGUUCUAGGUUGCGAAAGUAGCAGAACUCCACCUGGCC
This 466-nucleotide long non-coding RNA is filed under the name Mus pahari (shrew mouse). Its description in RNAcentral is "lncRNA (MGP_PahariEiJ_G0005667.1)". Lineage: Eukaryota; Metazoa; Chordata; Mammalia; Rodentia; Muridae. The record is from RNAcentral.